This 23-nucleotide small nuclear RNA is filed under the name Arabidopsis thaliana (thale cress). RNAcentral describes it as "snRNA_02138". Lineage: Eukaryota; Viridiplantae; Streptophyta; Magnoliopsida; Brassicales; Brassicaceae. The record is from RNAcentral.
CCAGAAAAUAACUCUGAAUCAGA